Molecule: unclassified non-coding RNA, 224 nt
Organism: Callithrix jacchus (white-tufted-ear marmoset)
Lineage: Eukaryota; Metazoa; Chordata; Mammalia; Primates; Cebidae
Rfam family: Metazoan signal recognition particle RNA
About the family: The signal recognition particle (SRP) is a universally conserved ribonucleoprotein. It is involved in the co-translational targeting of proteins to membranes.
Source: Ensembl
GCCAGGCAUAGUGGUGGGUGCCUGUAAUCUCAGCUACUCCAGAGGCUGAGGCAGGAGAAUCACUUGAACCCGGGAGGUGGAGGUUGCGGUGAGCUGAGAUCACACCAUUGCACUCCAGCCUGGGUGACAGAGUGUGACCCUGUCUCACUGUCUCAGUAGUAGGAUCACACCUGUAAAUAGCCACUACACUCCACCCUGGGCAACAUAGUGAGAUCCUGUCUCUA